Molecule: ribosomal RNA, 406 nt
Filed under: uncultured bacterium
Lineage: Bacteria
Description: partial 16S ribosomal RNA
Rfam family: Bacterial small subunit ribosomal RNA
Source: RNAcentral
AUUGAACGCUGGCGGCAGGCCUAACCCAUGCAAGUCGAACGAGUGGCGGACUGGUGAGUAAUGUCUGGGAAACUGCCUGAUGGAGGGGGAUAACUACUGGAAACGGUAGCUAAUACUGCAUACCAUCAGAUGUGCCCAGAUGGGAUUAGCUUGUUGGUGGGGUAACGGCUCACCAAGGCGACGAGCCCUAGCUGGUCUGAGAGGAAGAACAGCCACACUGGAACUGUGCCACGGUCCAGACGCCUACGUGCGGCAGCAGUGGGUAAGAUUGCACAAUGGGCGCAAGCCUGAUGCAGCCAUGCCGCGUGGAUGAAGAAGGCCUUCGGGUUGUAAAGUACUUUCAGCGGGGAGGCGUUACCCGCAGAAGAAGCACCGGCUAACUCCGUGCCAGCAGCCGCGGUAAUAC